AAAAAAUCUAUGUAAAAAAUAGUGUAUAUAAAUAAAAUUUAUUAUGGUUUAAAAAAUUUAUUUUUAAUUUAUUUUACAUAUAAAUUUUAGUGUUAAUUUUUAAUUAUUUUAAUAAUAAUUAAUUUAUUUUGGUAGUAAUUAAUAUUAAAAAUUUAAGAAAUUAAGAUUUAGUAAUAUUAAAAUUAAUAACAAAUUUUGUGCCAGCAGUUGCGGUUACACAAAAAUUGAAUUAAAUUUUAUUAGUUAUUAAUAAAUAAAAAAAAAAUUAAUUAAAAUAAUAAAUUAUUAGGUGAAAUUUUAAUUUAUUUAAAAAUUUAUUUAAUAAUUAUGAUUUAAUAAAAUAUAAAAAUAAACUAGGAUUAGAUACCCUAUUAUUAAUAUUUUAAAAUAAAAUACUAAAAUAGUAAUUAAUUAUUUAUUGAAACUUAAAUAACUUGGCGGUAUUUUAGUUCAUUUAGAGGAAUCUGUUUAAUAAUUGAUAAUCCACGAAUAAAUUUACUUAAUUUAUUAUUUUGUAUAUCGUUGUUAAAAAAAUAUUUUUUAGUAAAAAUAAUAUUUUAAAAUUUUAAAUAAAAAUUAAAUCAGAUCAAGAUGCAGAUUAUAAUUAAGAAUAUAAUGGAUUACAAUAAAUAUAUUUAAAUGGRGAUUAAUUUGUAAGGAUUAAUUGAAAGUGGAUUUAAAUGUAAUUUUAUUUAUUUUAAUAAAAUGAUUAUAAAUUAAAAUAUGUACAUAUUGCCCGUCGCUUUCAUAAAUAAAUUGAAAUAAGUCGUAACAAAGUAGAGGUACUGGAAAGUGUUUCUAGAAAGAU
This 808-nucleotide non-coding RNA is filed under the name Phthorimaea operculella (potato tuberworm). Lineage: Eukaryota; Metazoa; Arthropoda; Insecta; Lepidoptera; Gelechiidae. The record is from RNAcentral.